GCACUCGUAGCUCAGCUGGAUAGAGCGUUCGUCUACGGAACGAAAGGUCUUGGGUUCGAAUCCCCACGAGUGCACCA
RNAcentral lists this transfer RNA (77 nucleotides) under Clostridia bacterium. RNAcentral describes it as "tRNA-Arg". It matches the Rfam family "tRNA". From Rfam's summary of the family: Transfer RNA (tRNA) molecules are approximately 80 nucleotides in length. Their secondary structure includes four short double-helical elements and three loops (D, anti-codon, and T loops). Lineage: Bacteria; Bacillati; Bacillota; Clostridia. The record is from RNAcentral.